UAAAAAUUAGUUAAUUUAUAACCUUGGCUUGUCAGGCCAAAAUUAUCGAAACUCGAUAUUUUUAA
RNAcentral lists this transfer RNA (65 nucleotides) under Oplophorus spinosus. RNAcentral's name for it is "tRNA-Asp". Lineage: Eukaryota; Metazoa; Arthropoda; Malacostraca; Decapoda; Oplophoridae. The record is from RNAcentral.